UACGGAGGGUGCAAGCGUUAUCCGGAUUUACUGGGUUUAAAGGGUGUGUAGGCGGGCUUUUAAGUCUGGGGUGAAAUCUCCGAGCUCAACUCGGAAACUGCCUUGGAUACUAUUAGUCUUGAAUUAUGUUGAGGUUGGCGGAAUAUAACAUGUAGCGGUGAAAUGCAUAGAUAUGUUAUAGAACACCGAUUGCGAAGGCAGCUAACUAAGCAUAUAUUGACGCUGAGGCACGAAAGCGUGGGGAGUCAAACAGG
Molecule: ribosomal RNA, 254 nt
Filed under: uncultured bacterium
Lineage: Bacteria
Description: partial 16S ribosomal RNA
Rfam family: Bacterial small subunit ribosomal RNA
Source: RNAcentral